This 253-nucleotide ribosomal RNA is filed under the name uncultured bacterium. RNAcentral's name for it is "partial 16S ribosomal RNA". It matches the Rfam family "Bacterial small subunit ribosomal RNA", at positions 524 to 776 of the family's 1533-position model. The record is from RNAcentral.
UACGUAGGGUGCAAGCGUUGUCCGGAAUCACUGGGUGUAAAGGGCGCGUAGGCGGCUGCGUAAGUCAGGGGUGAAAGUUCGUCGCUCAACGAUGGAAUUGCAUCUGAUACUGUGCGGCUUGAGUUUAGGUGAGGGUGGCGGAAUGCGACGUGUAGCGGUGAAAUGCGUAGAUAUGUGGAGGAACACCGAUUGCGAAGGCAGCUGGCUGACCUAAAUUUGACGCUGAGGCACGAAAGCGUGGGUAGCAAACAGG